This 252-nucleotide ribosomal RNA is filed under the name uncultured bacterium. Its description in RNAcentral is "partial 16S ribosomal RNA". It matches the Rfam family "Bacterial small subunit ribosomal RNA", at positions 524 to 776 of the family's 1533-position model. The record is from RNAcentral.
CACGUAGGGGGCGAGCGUUAUCCGGAUUCAUUGGGCGUAAAGCGCGCGCAGGCGGCCGCCUAAGCGGGACCUCUAAUCCUGGGGCUCAACCUCAGGCCGGGUCCCGGACUGGGCGGCUCGGGUGCGGUAGGGGCAGGCGGAAUUCCCGGUGUAGCGGUGGAAUGCGCAGAUAUCGGGAAGAACACCGACGGCGAAGGCAGCCUGCUGGGCCGACACCGACGCUGAGGCGCGAAAGCCGGGGGAGCGAACAGG